GGAAAUGUAGCUCAGUGGUAGAGCACUUGCCUAGCAUGCACAAGGCCCUGGGUUCCAUAUCCA
RNAcentral lists this transfer RNA (63 nucleotides) under Marmota marmota marmota (Alpine marmot). It matches the Rfam family "tRNA". Rfam says of the family: Transfer RNA (tRNA) molecules are approximately 80 nucleotides in length. RNAcentral also lists the same sequence under 1 other name. Lineage: Eukaryota; Metazoa; Chordata; Mammalia; Rodentia; Sciuridae. The record is from Rfam by way of RNAcentral.